This 206-nucleotide ribosomal RNA is filed under the name uncultured bacterium. Its description in RNAcentral is "partial 16S ribosomal RNA". It matches the Rfam family "Bacterial small subunit ribosomal RNA", at positions 568 to 773 of the family's 1533-position model. The record is from RNAcentral.
CGCGCAGGCGGUCGAUCAAGUCGAGUGUGAAAGCCCCCGGCUCAACUGGGGAGGGUCAUUCGAUACUGAUCGACUCGAAGGCAGGAGAGGGUAGUGGAAUUCCCGGUGUAGUGGUGGAAUGCGUAGAUAUCGGGAGGAACGACCAGUGGCGAAGGCGACUACCUGGCCUGUUCUUGACGCUGAGGCGCGAAGCUAGGGGAGCAACG